RNAcentral lists this ribosomal RNA (425 nucleotides) under uncultured bacterium. RNAcentral's name for it is "partial 16S ribosomal RNA". It matches the Rfam family "Bacterial small subunit ribosomal RNA", at positions 355 to 774 of the family's 1533-position model. The record is from RNAcentral.
UGGGGAAUUUUGGACAAUGGGCGAAAGCCUGAUCCAGCAAUGCCGCGUGUGUGAAGAAGGCCUUCGGGUUGUAAAGCACUUUUGUCCGGAAAGAAAUCCUUGGCUCUAAUACAGUCGGGGGAUGACGGUACCGGAAGAAUAAGCACCGGCUAACUACGUGCCAGCAGCCGCGGUAAUACGUAGGGUGCAAGCGUUAAUCGGAAUUACUGGGCGUAAAGCGUGCGCAGGCGGUUUGCUAAGACCGAUGUGAAAUCCCCGGGCUCAACCUGGGAACUGCAUUGGUGACUGGCAGGCUAGAGUAUGGCAGAGGGGGGUAGAAUUCCACGUGUAGCAGUGAAAUGCGUAGAGAUGUGGAGAAUACCGAUGGCGAAGGCAGCCCCUGGGCCAAUACUGACGCUCAUGCACGAAAGCGUGGGGAGCAAAAC